AUGGAAUAAAGAAUUUACUUUUCUUUUUUAAUAAAUAUUAUACAUUACAUUUACAACUGCAAAUAAAGAAUUCAGACAUUCAUCCUUGCUGUAAAACCUUGUCCCAAUUAAUGCCAAUGCGUUGGUCUAUGACCAAAACCGUGUUGCAAUUCAUGAUCCCCUAAUAAAUGCCUUCACCAUCGCCAUGAAAUUGAGCAUUCUCAAUAAGCCACUGCUACUGUCUACCGCCAAUGGCACGAUUAUUUGAGAAUCAAGCCUAUAUCACACACUGAGACUUGACAAAGCCCAACAGAUUUGAUGCAAAAUUUCCAAGCAAAACCUGAGUUCAUUUUUUAAAACCUCUAGCUUUGAGCCCAAUCAUCCAUAAUCAAAAAAGCAUUUACAUUUUCAAGCUUUCUCUUAAAUAUAUACAGCUGUGAUUAUCAUACUCAAGAUUCUGAGUUUCUGAGUAGAAACCCUCACCUAACAUGACAAUCAUAAGGAACAAUUACACGAUCUGGAACAAUGAGAGGCAAUUUAUCGAUGUACAUAAAAAGCCUCUUGCAAUUCUCUCUUGAAAUUAAGGAUAAAUCAACAGUAUCAGAUUUAUCUGUAUAGAUCCAGAGAUCACCAGAAUUGACCCUUUUAAGACUACCUCUGCAAAAGGGACACGAUUGAGACCGCUCACGCCAAUCCUGAUAGCAUUUCAAACACAAAGAAUGAAUGCAAUCGGGUAAUACAACCUUGCUGUUCAUCUCCAUGCAAAUUCCGCA
Molecule: unclassified non-coding RNA, 752 nt
Filed under: Hevea brasiliensis (rubber tree)
Lineage: Eukaryota; Viridiplantae; Streptophyta; Magnoliopsida; Malpighiales; Euphorbiaceae
Source: RNAcentral